RNAcentral lists this long non-coding RNA (373 nucleotides) under Gopherus agassizii (Agassiz's desert tortoise). RNAcentral describes it as "lncRNA (ENSGAGG00000005913.1)". The record is from RNAcentral. Lineage: Eukaryota; Metazoa; Chordata; Testudines; Testudinidae.
UGGCUGGGGACAUCCCCCUGCUGAGCGAGCCACAGGAUAAAUACUUCCUCCCUGAGUGACUCCAGGCAGACAGCCCAGCCUGGCAGGAUGGACACAGCCGCAGCCCGCAGGCACCCAGGUGUGAUGGGAGCUGUUCCCUGGCUCCCUCUAGUCCUCCUCUGCGGCUGCAGCCACUUCCAGAGCUCAGAUGCAGCUUCCAGCCUGCGCCCAGAGAUCAUUACGCCCCUGAAGCCCGUGAAAAGUCCCACUCUAGGGAAAUGGUUCAGUGUCAGCUGCCAGGCUCAGAGCCCCUUCCCGAGGAUGACCCUCAUCUACUGGCUGGCAAACGGCUCCUUUGUGGAGGACCGAUACCCAGACGAGGCAGUGAGCGAAG